CCUACGGGUGGCAGCAGUGAGGAAUAUUGGUCAAUGGGCGGAAGCCUGAACCAGCCAAGUCGCGUGAGGGAAUAAGGCCCUACGGGUCGUAAACCUCUUUUGCCGGGGAGCAAGGGCGGGGACGUGUCCCGGCCAGGAGAGUACCCGGAGAAAAAGCAUCGGCUAACUCCGUGCCACCAGCCGCGGUAAUACGGAGGAUGCGAGCUUUAUCCGGAUUUAUUGGGUUUAAAGGGAGCGUAGAUGGGUUGUUUAGUCAGUGGUGAAGGGUUGCGGCUCAACCGUAAAAUUGCAAUUGAUACUGGCAGCCUUGAGUAGAGUUGAGGUAUGCGGAAUGCGUGGUGUAGCGGUGAAAUGCUUAGAUAUCACGAAGAACUCCGAUUGCGAAGGCAGCCUACUAAACUGCCACUGACAUUGAGGCACGAAAGUGUGGGUAUCAAACAGGAUUAGAUACCCUUGUAGUC
This 461-nucleotide ribosomal RNA is filed under the name uncultured bacterium. Its description in RNAcentral is "partial 16S ribosomal RNA". It matches the Rfam family "Bacterial small subunit ribosomal RNA", at positions 338 to 795 of the family's 1533-position model. The record is from RNAcentral.